GGUUUCGUGUGAACAGUGGUUGAUCACGAGUUAGUCGGUCCUAAGUUCAAGGCGAAAGCCGAAAAUUUUCAAGUAAAAAAUCAAUAAGCAUAUAUUGUCAAAUCUUUAAUGAUUUUUUUGAAACACUUGAAUAAUUUUGAACGAAAGGGAAUACGGUUCUAAUUCCGUAACCUGUUGAGUAUCCGUUUGUUAUUAAAUAUGGGCCUCGUGCUCAUCCUGGCAACAGGAACGACCAUAAAGAAGCCGUCGAGAGAUAUCGGAAGAGUUUUCUUUUCUGUUUUAUAGCCGUAC
RNAcentral lists this ribosomal RNA (291 nucleotides) under Drosophila guanche. Its description in RNAcentral is "LSU_rRNA_archaea". It matches the Rfam family "Eukaryotic large subunit ribosomal RNA", at positions 1505 to 1715 of the family's 3401-position model. The record is from RNAcentral. Lineage: Eukaryota; Metazoa; Arthropoda; Insecta; Diptera; Drosophilidae.